CUCUUAUCAAGAGCAGGCUGAGGGACUUGGCCCAAUGAAGCCCAGCAACCGACCGUAAUACCAUUGCAAAAUGGGGCGCAAUUGCGCCGGGGUUUUCCCGUAUGGCACGGUGCUAAUUCCAACAGAAAGGAAUCUUUCUGGCAGAUAAGAG
This 151-nucleotide non-coding RNA is filed under the name Bacillus methanolicus. RNAcentral describes it as "SAM-I sequence". It matches the Rfam family "SAM riboswitch aptamer (S box leader)". Rfam says of the family: The SAM riboswitch is found upstream of a number of genes which code for proteins involved in methionine or cysteine biosynthesis in Gram-positive bacteria. Lineage: Bacteria; Bacillati; Bacillota; Bacilli; Caryophanales; Bacillaceae. The record is from RNAcentral. RNAcentral also lists the same sequence under 1 other name.